RNAcentral lists this ribosomal RNA (484 nucleotides) under uncultured bacterium. RNAcentral describes it as "partial 16S ribosomal RNA". It matches the Rfam family "Bacterial small subunit ribosomal RNA", at positions 30 to 507 of the family's 1533-position model. The record is from RNAcentral.
AUUGAACGCUGGCGGCAGGCCUAACACAUGCGAGUCGAGCGGAUGAAGGGAGCUUGCUCCUGGAUUCAGCGGCGGACGGGUGAGUAAUGCCUAGGAAUCUGCCUGGUAGUGGGGGAUAACGUCCGGAAACGGGCGCUAAUACCGCAUACGUCCUGCGGGAGAACGCGGGGGAUCUUCGGACCUCACGCUAUCAGAUGAGCCUAGGUCGGAUUAGCUAGUUGGUGGGGUAAAGGCCUACCAAGGCGACGAUCCGUAACUGGUCUGAGAGGAUGAUCAGUUACACUGGAACUGAGAGACGGUCCAGCCUCCUACGGGAGGCAGCAGGGGGGAAGAGUGGACGAUGGGCGAAAGCCUGAUCCAGCGAUGCCGCGUGUGUGAAGAAGGUCUUCGGAUUUUAAAGCACUUUAAGUUGGGAGGAAGGGCAGUAAGUUAAUACCUUGCUGUUUUGACGUUACCAACAGAAUAAGCACCGGCUAACUUCGUG